Molecule: ribosomal RNA, 498 nt
Filed under: uncultured bacterium
Lineage: Bacteria
Description: partial 16S ribosomal RNA
Rfam family: Bacterial small subunit ribosomal RNA
Source: RNAcentral
GACGAACGCUGGCGGCGUGCCUAAUACAUGCAAGUCGAACGAGAGCGACCGGUGCUUGCACUGGUCAAUCUAGUGGCGAACGGGUGAGUAACACGUGGGUAACCUGCCCAUCAGAGGGGGAUAACAUCCGGAAACGGAUGCUAAAACCGCAUAGGUCUUCGAACCGCAUGGUUUGAAGAGGAAAAGCGGCGCAAGCUUCUGCUGAUGGAUGGACCCGCGGUGCAUUAGCUAGUUGGUGAGGUAACGGCUCACCAAGGCCGUGAUGCAUAGCCGACCUGAGAGGGUGAUCGGCCACAUUGGGACUGAGACACGGCCCAAACUCCUACGGGAGGCAGCAGUAGGGAAUCUUCCGCAAUGGACGCAAGUCUGACGGAGCAACGCCGCGUGAGUGAAGAAGGUGUUCGGAUCGUAAAACUCUGUUGUUAGAGAAGAACAAGUGCUAGAGUAACUGUUAGCGCCUUGACGGUAACUAACCAGAAAGCAACGGCUAACUACGUG